This 480-nucleotide ribosomal RNA is filed under the name Triticum aestivum (bread wheat). RNAcentral's name for it is "partial small subunit ribosomal RNA". The record is from RNAcentral. Lineage: Eukaryota; Viridiplantae; Streptophyta; Magnoliopsida; Poales; Poaceae.
AUAAGUCGACCUGAUGGGAUCAACAUCCCCGACGGCAAGUUCUACCUUGGAGAUGCUGGCUAUGCAUGUCGGCCGGGUAUUCUUCCACCCUUCAGAAAAACCAGGUACCAUCUCAACGAGUUCUCUGGUAGGAACUAUCCUAGGACUGCACAUGAGCUGUUUAAUCUCAGACACUCCAGCCUUAGAGUAACUGUUGAGAGAGCAUUUGGAGCUCUGAAGAAUAGGUUUAAGAUCCUGGAUCAGAAGCCAUUCCACCCAUACUCCACUCAGAUUAAGCUUGUUCUUGCUUGUUGCAUUCUGCAUAACUGGAUCCUCCAGUCGGGCUUUGAUGAACACGUGCCUGAGGAGGAAGAGGUCGAGCCUGACGAUGUUGUUAGCUCCGGCCAUGGUGUGGAGGCAUUUGACAAUGACGCUUGGAAGAACAAAAGGUUGAAGUGGGCAGAGGCAAUGUGGCUUAACAGAGGUCAGUGCAGGAUUUGA